This 254-nucleotide ribosomal RNA is filed under the name uncultured bacterium. RNAcentral describes it as "partial 16S ribosomal RNA". It matches the Rfam family "Bacterial small subunit ribosomal RNA", at positions 524 to 776 of the family's 1533-position model. The record is from RNAcentral.
UACGUAGGGGCCUAGCGUUGUCCGGAUUUAUUGGGCGUAAAGAGCUCGUAGGCGGCUUGGUUAGUCAGGGGUGAAAUCUCCACGCUCAACGUGGAGGGGCCACCUGAUACUGCCAUGGCUUGAGUCCGGUAGGGGAGUGUGGAAUUCCCGGUGUAGCGGUGAAAUGCGCAGAUAUCGGGAGGAACACCCGUAGCGAAGGCGGCACUCUGGGCCGUGACUGACGCUGAGGAGCGAAAGCGUGGGUAGCAAACAGG